GGGCCCGCACAAGCGGUGGAGCAUGUGGUUUAAUUCGAUGCAACGCGAAGAACCUUACCAGGGCUUGACAUACUACAGAUUCUUUAGAGAUAGAGAAGUGCCUUCGGGAAUGUAGAUACAGGUGGUGCAUGGCUGUCGUCAGCUCGUGUCGUGAGAUGUUGGGUUAAGUCCCGCAACGAGCGCAACCCUUAUUUUUAGUUGCCAUCACGUUUGGGUGGGCACUCUAGGGAAACUGCCGGUGCUAAGCCGGAGGAAGGCGGGGAUGACGUCAAGUCCUCAUGGCCCUUACGGGUAGGGCUACACACGUGCUACAAUGGCAGUGACAAUGGGAUAAUCCCCAAAAGCUGUCUCAGUUCGGAUUGUCGGCUGCAACUCGCCGGCAUG
This 384-nucleotide ribosomal RNA is filed under the name uncultured bacterium. Its description in RNAcentral is "bacterial SSU rRNA". It matches the Rfam family "Bacterial small subunit ribosomal RNA", at positions 917 to 1322 of the family's 1533-position model. The record is from RNAcentral.